This 445-nucleotide ribosomal RNA is filed under the name uncultured bacterium. Its description in RNAcentral is "partial 16S ribosomal RNA". It matches the Rfam family "Bacterial small subunit ribosomal RNA", at positions 354 to 796 of the family's 1533-position model. The record is from RNAcentral.
GUGAGGAAUAUUGGACAAUGGGCGCAAGCCUGAUCCAGCCAUGCCGCGUGCAGGAAGACGCAUCUAUGGUGUGUAAACUGCUUUUGUACGGGAAGAAACACUCCCUCGUGAGGGAGCUUGACGGUACCGUAAGAAUAAGGAUCGGCUAACUCCGUGCCAGCAGCCGCGGUAAUACGGAGGAUCCAAGCGUUAUCCGGAAUCAUUGGGUUUAAAGGGUCCGUAGGCGGUUUAAUAAGUCAGUGGUGAAAGCCCAUCGCUCAACGAUGGAACUGCCAUUGAUACUGUUAGACUUGAAUUACAAGGAAGUAACUAGAAUAUGUAGUGUAGCGGUGAAAUGCUUAGAUAUUACAUGGAAUACCAAUUGCGAAGGCAGGUUACUACUUGUGGAUUGACGCUGAUGGACGAAAGCGUGGGGAGCGAACAGGAUUAGAAACCCCAGUAGUCC